AGGGGUUUUUUAAGUGGAGAAAGUAGGGAGUUUUCUUAAAGAUGAGAAAUUGAUUUGAAUUUUAGUGAGGAAUUUAGCUGUGCUUAGUUGAGAAGGCUUUUGGAAAAUGAUCAAGUUUUAUAGCUCCAACCUGAAGACAUAUCCCUUCAUCAUUAUCAGCCUUGUUUUCCUUCUUUCGAAGCAAAGUCAUGUGGAUAUUCAGGUGGCCUUGUCUGAUGUUUGGGUCACCAUAUGCUUCAGAGAACGACAAUAUUAUGCAGAUUGAUUGAGUGGUUGAGAAGAGGGUCAUACUUCAUAUAAUUUAUCAAGAGACAUUUUUGGGCUGCAUUGUUUUGGGACCAUCCAAUGCAACUCAAACUUUAUUACCGCGUGGUUCUGUUUCCAACUGCUGAGAACAAGGCUGUCACCAAUGAAAUGCUCUGUCAUCAGUUUGAAGCUAUAAAACUUGAGCAUUUCCUCAGCUCUUUUCAACAACACAAAGAAGCUUCUCAAGAUGGCAAGAAAAUGGCGUAAGAUAGCAGCAGCCAGCAGGAAGAGGAUCUCUUGGCCGCAACUAAUGGC
This is a long non-coding RNA of Chenopodium quinoa (quinoa), 561 nucleotides long. RefSeq lists it as uncharacterized. The transcript has 3 exons. NCBI's taxonomy places the organism in Eukaryota, Viridiplantae, Streptophyta, Magnoliopsida, Caryophyllales, Amaranthaceae. The record is from RefSeq and is a predicted model, not a curated record.